RNAcentral lists this ribosomal RNA (483 nucleotides) under uncultured Gemmatimonadota bacterium. Its description in RNAcentral is "bacterial SSU rRNA". It matches the Rfam family "Bacterial small subunit ribosomal RNA", at positions 8 to 473 of the family's 1533-position model. The record is from RNAcentral. Lineage: Bacteria; Pseudomonadati; Gemmatimonadota.
AGAGUUUGAUCCAUGGCUCAGGACGAACGCUGGCGGCGUGCUUAACACAUGUAAGUCGAACGAGGCCACUCCUUCGGGAGUGAGUCGAGUGGCGGACGGGUGAGUAACACGUGAGCGAUCUAUCCCCGUGCGGGGGACAACCCGGGGAAACCCGGGCUAAUACCGCAUGGUCAGGACUCCUGCAUGGGAGACCUGGGAAAGACGGCCUCUUUACAAUUCGUGCGGGGAGGAGCUCGCGGGCUAUCAGCUAGUUGGUGCGGUAACGGCGCACCAAGGCAGCGACGGCUAGGGGGUCUGAGAGGACGACCCCCCACAUUGGAACUGAGACACGGUCCAGACUCCUACGGGAGGCAGCAGUGGGGAAUUUUGGGCAAUGGCCGCAAGGCUGACCCAGCGACGCCGCGUGCGGGAGGACGCCUUUCGGGGUGUAAACCACUGUCAGGGGGGACGAAUUUCCGGGGUGGAAACACUGCUCCGGGUGAC